Molecule: long non-coding RNA, 798 nt
Organism: Catharus ustulatus (Swainson's thrush)
Lineage: Eukaryota; Metazoa; Chordata; Aves; Passeriformes; Turdidae
Exons: 2
Source: RefSeq, a predicted model, not a curated record
GGAGGCUCCGGGAGCACCGGCGGGCCCCGCGGAACUCUGCCGUGCCAGGGCCACACGGACACCUCCCGACACGGCCCCCCGGAACAGCAGCGGCCCCAGUGCGGGCUGAGCCCGGCCCUGAAGUGUGAAGAGCAUCGCGGGCAGCGCGGAGCGUGUCCCGGCUCCUCUCCGCUCCCAUGCCCCUGAUCCCGACAAGCACGGGGCGUAUCACUCUCCUCCCAAAACACUCUGAAUUCUCGUACCCCUUAACGCAAAGACAAGCACCCUGCCUGCACUCUCAGCACCAAGGUCCAGGGGACCGGCAUCGCAUCAAGACUGGACUCAGCAAGACAGCAACUGAAAAUCUCAACAUCUCAUCACAGGUGGGAGACAGCAGCUGCCAUAUAUUGCUCUUGAUGAGUUUAUUGGCACCCUCAGCCGUAACUGAACACUGCAAGUGCACAGGAGAGAACACCUUCAGUUCUUCACUUCAUGUCCCCAAAUGUGUCCCCUAGAUUUUGAAGCCUGCUCACCCCAGUCAAGCCCGUCUGGAUCUCAUGAACGUGAAGGAAUUCUCCUUAUGCUUUUCCAACUGGUCUGUGCAGUACUUCUUGGAGUGACUUCCCAGUGAUACUAACAGCUUUCCCUGGCACCCCCGAGCAGUGUAAGUGGAAGACCACAGGAGCAAGUGCCUUCCCUCUAACCAGCUCCAAAUGGAAUGGUUUUCCCAUAGGAAUGAACCUCAGAGGAAUAACCUCAGUCCCUCCAGCCAAACUGCCUGCUUUCCAGAGAAGCCAGAGGCUUGCAUGCCUUUGAAAA